Molecule: transfer RNA, 26 nt
Filed under: Salvelinus malma malma
Lineage: Eukaryota; Metazoa; Chordata; Actinopteri; Salmoniformes; Salmonidae
Description: partial tRNA-Phe
Source: RNAcentral
GCUGGCGUAGCUUAAUUAAAGCAUAA